This 254-nucleotide ribosomal RNA is filed under the name uncultured bacterium. RNAcentral describes it as "partial 16S ribosomal RNA". It matches the Rfam family "Bacterial small subunit ribosomal RNA", at positions 524 to 776 of the family's 1533-position model. The record is from RNAcentral.
UACGUAGGGGGCUAGCGUUGUCCGGAAUCAUUGGGCGUAAAGCGCGUGUAGGCGGUCCGGUAAGUCCGCUGUGAAAGUCGGGGGGCUCAACCCUCGGAUGCCGGUGGAUACUGUCGGGCUUGAGUACGGAAGGGGCGAGUGGAAUUCCUGGUGUAGCGGUGAAAUGCGCAGAUAUCAGGAGGAACACCAAUUGCGAAGGCAGCUCGCUGGGACGUUACUGACGCUGAGACGCGAAAGCGUGGGGAGCAAACAGG